CCCUUAGAUGUUCUGGGCCGCACGCGCGCUACACUGAUGCAUUCAACAAGCCUAGCCUUGACCGAGAGGUCCGGGUAAUCUUUGAAACUGCAUCGUGAUGGGGCUAGAUUAUUGCAAUUAUUAAUCUUCAACGAGGAAUGCCUAGUAAGCGUGAUUCAUCAAAUCGCGUUGAUUACGUCCCUGCCCUUUGUACACACCGCUCGUCGCUCCUACCGAUUGAAUGUGUUGGUGAGGAGCUCGGAUUGGCAGCAGUUGGUGGUUCGCCACCGGCUAUUGCUGAGAAGUCCUCCAAACCGCCCCAUUUAGAGGAAGGAGAAGUCGUAACA
RNAcentral lists this ribosomal RNA (326 nucleotides) under uncultured eukaryote. Its description in RNAcentral is "partial 18S ribosomal RNA". It matches the Rfam family "Eukaryotic small subunit ribosomal RNA", at positions 1470 to 1796 of the family's 1831-position model. The record is from RNAcentral.